RNAcentral lists this ribosomal RNA (253 nucleotides) under uncultured bacterium. RNAcentral describes it as "partial 16S ribosomal RNA". It matches the Rfam family "Bacterial small subunit ribosomal RNA", at positions 524 to 776 of the family's 1533-position model. The record is from RNAcentral.
UACGGAAGGGGCUAGCGUUGUUCGGAAUCACUGGGCGUAAAGCGCGCGUAGGCGGCUUGGCAAGUGAGGCGUGAAAGUCCUGGGCUCAACCUGGGGGCUGCGUUUGAUACGUGCAGACUUGAGUUCGGAAGAGGGUCGUGGAAUUCCCAGUGUAGAGGUGAAAUUCGUAGAUAUUGGGAAGAACACCGGUGGCGAAGGCGGCGACCUGGUCCGAUACUGACGCUGAGGCGCGAAAGCGUGGGGAGCAAACAGG